AGCUUAGUGCCAACAUAUACAUAAGUAGCAGCACACUAAUAUUACAUUGUUUUUGUUCUGAUCAUUCAGAAUGUUGUAUCUUCCAAGAGGAUGGAGAAUGAUAAAUCUACAGGAAGACCAUAUGUAGAAAAGCAACAUCAUAAUCUUUAACCAUGGACAACAGCAAGUUCAAACACAAAACCAAGGACUAUAAUAGCUAAACUCUCAUAGAAAUCUCUCUCUAGCAUUCUAGUUGAACUUCAACAGUAGCGCACCAACAUUAGCUAGAGGGCGAGGCAGGCCGCAGCAACAGCUGCUAACAGCGACCAGCAAAUGGAGGCUGGGUCGUGACGGCGGCACCGAGAUGGAGGAGGUGCCAGGGCAUGGCAGGCAAAAAUAACUGUGAUUGAAUAGUCUCAAUCAGGUAGGUAGGCGUUACAAGAAAAGAAAUAGCAAGUACAUCAAGUUUCAGUGCCUCUUUCACACACAGAUGUACAACAAAAUUGGCAUACCUUCUUAUAUAGAUGAACUUGAACCCCUAAAAACUUGUGAGAUAUGAACAUCUUUCGAAAGCCAUCGACCGCCUCAAAAAAAUCCCUGGAAUCCUCUGACAUCGUGCAUCAAACUUGGUCUUCAGUCUCAAUAAUAUUAUUUCAGAAUCCUUUUUUCAAUCGCCAUCAACAUGGUUGUCAUUGCAGGCAAACUAUCAACUUUACGAUUCUAAAAGUACUAGCUUUUGGCAAAAUGUGUACAAGCUACUCAAGAAAUUGAAGAUAGUUGCAAACAACAUACGAGCUACAGCCUAGCGAUUUUUGCAAGUACGUGAGUGAAGACUUGUGAUUGUUCUGAUUCUGAACUUCACAUUUUUCUGAUUCUGAACUUGUGAUUGUUCUUUUUUCGCAGGGUGCAGUGCAACUGCCGGUGUUGGGAGGCUGGCUUCGCUCCAUCAGGUAGCUUCGUCCACCGCCGCACAGGACGGCGAGGAGGGGAUGAAGGAAAGACAGACCUGGCAGCAAGCGGGGGAGGAGCCGGAGCAGCGCCAUGUCGGGGAUGCAUGGUGUCAGCAGCUAUGUUUUUUAUAAAACCUAAAUCACUUCACAGAACAUAGUUAAAUAUUUUAACAUCACAAAAAGCUAUGUUUUUUUAUACAAGAAGUUGUUUUUCUAGGUAGUAGCACGUGCUUGCGUUGCACACGUUCCUCUACCACACACAUAUUUAUCCUCUCACGUGCUUCCAUUCUCCCCCUGUUUAACUCUGAACUCGUGUUGCACUACCAAAAGCUAACAGCAAAUGCAAUCCUAAUUAACAUACGAUGCAGAGCAUCAUCUCCGGUCAAAGCGAGGAAGCCUUAAUUGACAAAAUUGCAAAAAAUUUGUACUUCCGGCCUUGGGUGUGCUGGGCAGCGGCGGUGCGCUUUUCUUGUUGUUGAAUCCACGAGUGAUCCAACUAACACAAAGUCAAGUUGAACUCCAUGUUUUUUUUAGAGGGAAACCUUGUGUUCAGCAGCCAUGUCCUUGUCGUUUCAAUCGUAUGAACUUCAUAGGAAUUGGGAAUGAAACUCGUGGCUGGUGUUACCUUCUUUUUGCUAGCCAUCUGAUUGAGGAAAGAGAGCACCCGCUGGUUGCCGAGAGAGCCUGGAUCGCGCCAGGAUCUGUUCCAUUCAUGAACACAAACAUAUGAGCUGAGACCACGAGAGAAGCUAAAAGUACACAACUCGAACACCGGUCAUGAAAUUUUCUGCACCGCAAACGUUGUUGAAUCCAUUUCUUUAACUGUUAAGAACGGAUGGUUUUCUUUUGUCAACGAUCUCUUCUAACAUAUGUGCUAAAACUGCUAAAAAUGAGCAUUUUUGCUAUAAUGCAUAUAAUGAACCUCUUAAUUUCAGACAUGAAAACUAAAUAAUUGUGUUUAUACGCAGUCGAACUGAUUCACAGAGGAGAUGAGGAGGUUGACAGAGAGAGAUGGUUGCAGCCGAAGCCGGUAUAGGCGGCUGGCCGCGCCACCGAAGCGCCGGUGAAAGGGAGUGCCGUCGCCAACAGCGGGAGAUGAGGCACGUGGAGGCACAGGGUCAGCGGCCGCUGGCUCGAGGAAUAGCAUGUAAAAACCAAAACUGAAAAAUUCAGUACACAUUCUGUCGAACAUGAAAACUAGAAAAUUCUGUUCAUCUUCAGAAAGGAAGAUGCUGUAGCAACUAGAUUUGUAGGAGAAGCAUCAUGCUAGAAUAAGUUAGACUGCACAUAUUCUUCUUUUGUGAACUUCUGCAACUAUAUGCAGGUCGUGGGGAGGUGAGCGGCGGCAGCACACGCGAGCAUGGUCGCUUCUAUACAUUAUACAUUGCUGCUAACCAAAAUCACAAAACAUGCUGAACGUGUAUGGGAUGGAAGUGGUGUGCUCAGCCUCACCUUGACUGUUGUGGACUGCUGCUCGCGAUGGCCUCGACCUCCCUGACACAGCGCGGCUGGACUGGGAUGGCGCUUGGUUUCGUUGGGUUAAUCGGGAGGAGGCGGAGGUGUGGUAUUCAGGAUGAGGAAGAAGGGCGGCGCGGGAGUUCCACCUGGAGGAAGAAGGGCGCCUGAGGCUAGGAUGGUUGGGGCGACGCCGGUUGAUUCGGGGGAAGGGGAGGGGUAGCGCGGUGGCGGAGGAAGCCAGAUCCGAGCGCGCCGGGAGGGAUGACAGAGUGUGAUUGGGACGGAUAGGCAGCAAGAGGAGGCGCGCGACCUCUGCGCCCUGCAGGGGCGGUGCUGGUCGCCGGUGGAGGUCCAGCAGCUGGAGACACGCUGGGAUCCGAGGCGGGCGACGCGAGGCGUGCUGGGGACGAGGGGCAGGCGGGGGUUGGACGGCGACGGGAGGCUCGCCGGGGCAGUGGGAGCGGCGGCGGGAGGCGCGGCAGGGCCAGGGAGGCAGCGGCGGGAGGCGCACCGGAGCCAGGGGCCGGCAGCGGAAGGCAGUCGGGCGGAGUGUGGAGUUCGGGAGGACCUCAGUCGCUCCCCCUAUAUAGAAGUAGGGCUAUGUGAUCAAAAUAUAUAUAUACUAUUCUAGGUUGCAGAAUAAAUUAUUCUUCACCCGAGGUAAUCUUAUGAUCAUUUCAUAAUUAAAUUACGUUUGAAAUUCAAAUAGUUACAUUCUUAUUGAUUCACUACGUAAAAUUUGGCAUAAAAAAAUAAAAAUACAGGGCAUAAGACAAGAAAAUUUACAGUUUAUGUGUAUUUUACACUAUGUUUUUACGUUUGUAAUUUUACAUAACAUAAAAUAUUUUUUACGACGAUUAUAUAUUUUCUUAGGUCUCUUUUUACGUCAGAAAUAAGACAAAACUUACGAAGCGUAAAAUUACGAUGCAUUGAUGAUAAAAUAGAGGGGGUGAAGAAUAACUAUUCCUCACCCAGGGUGACGAAUAGUCAAUCCUUAUAUAUGGGUAAAAUAUAUGGGUUCAGCUCCUCUACAAUUCAGUUGUUACUGUAUGGGUGCUGUAGGCUCUACUAUCAACCGUCCACUCUAAUCUAGUGGAUCUUCUUACUUUCACUUAAUUCUCUUAUUAAAUCGCAAAAAACACCAUCCCGAACUAGAGACGUGACGGCGGUCAUAAGCUCCCCGCGCCAACAAGUUCGAUGAAAUCCGCACAAACGGCGCCGGCACCGUCGUAUGUCCAGAGCUUGCGAACCUGCAAACAAAGCGUCACGCGGCUACCGAAACAGGAUACCGUCACCAUACCUGCAGCAUUUGUUAGAUCAAUGCUAAGUAAUUCAUGCAUCGACCAAGUAAUUCUUGCAUCGAGACAUGUAUUCAUCCUCCAUUUAUUAACCAGCUAGCUUUCUUCUCCAUGGUAGCCCCAGACAACAAUCGUAGGGCUACAAGAACUCAAGAUGGUUUCCUUGAGGAACUUAUGCUCCGGUCAUGCAAGCCAUUUACAAGGCCGGCGAGCUCCUGGCCUCCGGCCGCGACGGCGCCGUGCGUUUCAAUUUCACAUGCACGCUGACAGCUGAGCUGGCCGGCGCGGCCAGCCGGAGGACCGCCGUUCUUCCGACGUCGUUACAAUUUUUGUUUUUGAUUAAUAACAUAAUUAAGGCAGACCAAAGAGAGCCUUUGGAUUGAAACCGACGGUGGAUUUUGAGAGCAACAACAUGCGUACAGUAAUAACAUUACUGUAGAGGAGCCGACCCACCCAAUAUAUAUAGGGAAAAUCCAUCCUACCACCCGGUGGUAGUUACCCCACAUGUCAUAUAUACUACCGGUAGUAUAUAUUCUACUUCAUCAUUAUAAGUAUGUUCAUAUACUAUAUAUAAGAUACUCUAAAGUGAGUUACAUGAAAAAAUUGCAAGUUGAUCCAUGUUUUUACUAUAUUUGUGAAAUACGUACAUAUUUGUACGUAAAAAGGAGCAUACUCAAAAUACGAUAUAUACAAAAAAGUAGUAUAUAUACUACCUUAACAUUUUUAUAUACUACAUACUAUGCGUACAUACUCUCCGAUUUGAUAAAUACUACAUACAACAUACAAAACUUAAAUGGUGGUAACUACCACCGGUGGUAGAUAAAAAUUGUCCUAUCUUCUAUAUCUAAAUAGGAGCCCCCAUUACCUGAUUUUCCUCGCUUCGCGCGCAGCCACGUCACCUGAAUUAUUAUUAGCCAUUCCAUCAACUAUGAACGCAAUCAGCUGUCGUGCGCUAACUCUCGCUGCCUUCCCCGACUUCCAACGAUUGGACUGCACGUGGGUUGCCUGAGCUGUAUGUGGGCUGUGUUUGCUGCUGCCGCACAUGGGCCUUGAUUCAAUGUUAGGCAUGUGGGCUGUAUAGCCCAUGGGGGUCAACCGCCGCACUAGGUCACUCACGGUCACCAUCUUCUCCGAUGUGAACCAUGAAUCAUCCUCGCUGUUAUCUCUUCCGCUGCCACGGCUGAAUAUCUCCCUGGCGCAAAUGCACAUGAAACUGCAACGUUCAUCGCGCCUCAUUACUUCGCCCUCUGUUAUUACCAAAAGAAAAGGCUAGAUUAAACGGCGCGACCACGGCCUUCCGUAUACAAACCUAUCUCUGCUACCAACUUCUCGCACCAUCGCUGCUUCUCCGUAUGGGUCGCGACGCGGUUCUGUUGCCGAGCACCCACAUCGUCGUGGACGGUAUGCCGUUGUUGCACCCCAUUGCUCUGCUCUGAAUCUGCACCCGCAUGCCAGCCGGUUUUUGUCGCCUUCCGAUGUCUCUUUGAUUGUGGGGACACAGGAGAGAUCGCCGUUCCGUUGCCGGAGCUGGAUACCAGAAUCCCGGAUCGUCGAGGAAGUGCACAACUGCUGAGGCGUCGGAACGUUUUUGCUAUGCGCCUGCCGUUGCCGUCGGUGAGGAUGAGAGGUGGGGAAUUCGACUCAAUCAGUAAACAUGACUUCCAAAUUUACUCCACGUUUGGGGCUAGCGCAUCAUCUCUGUGUGGCAGGUCGUUCCGGUUUUGCCUUUCCGGUCACUUCCCAGUCCCUACUCUAUAAUUUGCAACAUCUGCUCCACACACCUUCGACACUCUCUGGUCCAGGCUUAUAAGCUCUAUGUGCUCCCACAUGGACUUCAUGGAGAUGCUCUUUCACUUGGACAUAAGGUAGAAGAUAUCAUUUUAGAUUGUUAAUGCAAUUUUGAUUUACUAUUUCCCAUCCGUCUCACAAAAAUGCUUCAUUGCUAAUAUAUGUCUCUGAUUUUCCAUGCAUUUUCAGCAUUGGAGAUGCUCUUUCACUUGGACAUAAGGCAACAUAUAUCAUUUUAAAUUAUACAGUGUGAUUUUGAUUUGUACCCUGUCCAUGCCUUGGCAAAAUGCACCCUGUUAUAUUUAUAGCAGAAUGUGGCAAACAUUUCAAUAUAUACGUUCUUUCAUUGCUUAUCUGAUAAGAAUCGGCUCUAGAAGCCCAGGUCAGUGCUUUGAUGUUUAAAGAAUUAUUACAUGUUCAUAAUGUGAUCUAAUGUUAUAUCUUAUAAUUUUUUGAUCUGCUAUUGGUUUCAGAACUAAAUGUAAGAUUGGUUCCGUCCAUGCAGCAGAGGAAAAUUUUGCAAGUAGUUCCAUGCAAUAAACAUUGGUGGCCACCCACUCAUUAUUUGUUUGUUAGACCCCAUGACUGAAUUGAGACUUCUUCCCACUGAUUUGCUGGAGAUUCCUUAUGCAAUUGUAAUGCUCAAUGUAGCCGCUUGAUGCUUUUGGGUACGCCGUGCUUUGCAACUGUUUGAUGCUUAAACACACUUCAGUUAGAUUUACUUGGUUUUCUUAUAAAUGUGGUUAAUGCAGUUCCAAACUAAUAUUUAUGGUUAGCUAUAUCGAUUCCAAGUUUCUGUAUGAACUUUUUCUUUUUAUAGAUAACAUAAAACUUUCACAUACAUGAGGAUGGCUUUUCACAUGGAGUACUAGGGAUCAAUACAAAUUGUAUCUCAGUGUUCUUAUGCAUGCGAUUCAUUUUUUGCCUCCAGCAAACAUGCAGUUCCAAAUUAAUUAUUGUGGUUAAUUGUAUUGAUUCAAAAUUUCUAACCAAAGUUUUCUUUUCUUAUAGAUAACAGAAAACUUUCACAUUAACGAGAAAGAUUUUUCAUAUGUUGUGCUAGGGACCAAGAGAAAUUGUAACCCCGAGCCAGAUUUCAUAAGUUUUGUUUAUCUCGAUUCUCAAUAUUAUUUCCUUUGUAUAUGAGAGUUGUGAACGGGAUUCUUUUUGCACCCGCGGCAAUCCAGGGGGCACCUAGAAAAUGUAUUCUUUAUAUUUCCAUGUUGUUUAAUAUUUUAUAAUUAUUUUGUCUGUAAUUCUACUAAUAUGUAUUUACGCAUUCUGUCCCGCAGCAACGCGUGGGGCAUCAUCUAGUUAUAUAUAUAUAGAAAAAGAUUAACCCGUGUGGGGUCCGGCCGUCAGUGAGGUCAGCAAGGUGUUAGCGCUAAAAUAGGAUUAGGACCGGGCCCCACUAGCAAGGGGCACAGCCGGCUCCUCUGGCGAGGCACGCACGGGCACUAGAGGCUCCGGCGGCUAGGCAGCGGCGGGCGGCCCCGGCGCGGGACAGGUGCGGGCGGCGCCGACGCGGGGCAGGCACGAGCGGCAGCAGGCGGUUAACGGCAGAGGCAACAACAACGACGGCCAGACGGUGGGGAGUUCCGGCGGGUGGAGGCGGGCACAGCCGGCAGCGGUGGGACGCGAGCGGGGCUGCCAGGCAGAGCAAGCAGCAGCAGGAGAGGCGACGACAGCAGCUAGAGGCAGGGGGCGGCGAGCACCGAAUGGCGCGGGCGCGAAAGCAGGGCCUCGGCGAGGAAACGGCAACGCGUGGGAGGGGGCCUGGCCGGAGGCGCGCGGGGGGAGCCGAGCUGCAGGCAGGCGUGGGCGCAGUCAAGCAGGCGAGAGCGGCUACAGCAGAAUAGCAUCGGUGGCAGCUAGCAGAUCAGCAGCAGCGAAGCAGAAGAGCAGCUACGACAUGAGCAGCGGUAGUAGGCAACGCAACAGCAAGCAAAGAGCAGCAGCGGCGGCUUAAAGAACAGCAGCAACGCAGCAACAGUAGUACGCACGGGCUCGGAUGAGCUCGGGGACGGAGGCUACAACAACAAAAUCAAAGCGAAGGAAGGGGGUUCCGGGGGAGAAGCUCACUGCGAGUUCAUUGGCGUGCUCGGGGAGGCCGGAGGGACUCGAGGUCGGCCGAAUCGACGGCGAGGCAGUGGUGGCCGUCGGUGGAGGGGAUCGUGGAUGGCGUCGAGUUGGUGCAGUCCCAGCUCGUGGUGCUUCGUGUAGUCGAAGAGGAUGAUGAGGCGCUUCUCCUGGACAGGACGGAGUGGCAAGGGGAGCACGGUGGCUGCGAGGUCGAUGGCAACAGCGGCGACGGAGGCAUCGGUGAGGGAGAGGGCAGCGUCCUAGAGAGAGGGAGGGGGAGAGGGGCAUGGGUGAGUGGGGUACAGGGGAGAGGAGUGAGGAGUGAGGCGUCCCGGGGCCUUAUCCCCUGCCGACGCCGGCGAGGUGGUCGGGCGGGAGCCGCCCUGUAGCGACGAGACUGAG
Molecule: long non-coding RNA, 7957 nt
Filed under: Triticum aestivum (bread wheat)
Lineage: Eukaryota; Viridiplantae; Streptophyta; Magnoliopsida; Poales; Poaceae
Description: long non-coding RNA (TAES_LNC008702)
Source: RNAcentral